This 404-nucleotide ribosomal RNA is filed under the name uncultured Sporobacter sp. Its description in RNAcentral is "bacterial SSU rRNA". It matches the Rfam family "Bacterial small subunit ribosomal RNA", at positions 356 to 774 of the family's 1533-position model. The record is from RNAcentral. Lineage: Bacteria; Bacillati; Bacillota; Clostridia; Eubacteriales; Oscillospiraceae.
GGGGAAUAUUGGGCAAUGGGGGAAACCCUGACCCAGCAACGCCGCGUGAAGGAAGAAGGCUUUCGGGUUGUAAACUUCUUUGACGAGGGACGAAAAAAAUGACGGUACCUCGAAAACAAGCCACGGCUAACUACGUGCCAGCAGCCGCGGUAAUACGUAGGUGGCAAGCGUUGUCCGGAUUUACUGGGUGUAAAGGGCGCGUAGGCGGGAAUGCAAGUCAGAUGUGAAAUGCUGGGGCUUAACCUCAGAACUGCAUUUGAAACUGUAUUUCUUGAGUAUCGGAGAGGCAGGCGGAAUUCCUAGUGUAGCGGUGAAAUGCGUAGAUAUUAGGAGGAACACCAGUGGCGAAGGCGGCCUGCUGGACGACAACUGACGCUGAGGCGCGAAAGCGUGGGGAGCAAACA